GGACAACUGUCAUUUAAUUUUAAAAAAAAUUAAUAAAAGUCGCGACAGUUAGUCUCUCAACCGCCCUAAACUCUAUAUUGCGACGGUUAUCUCACCUGCCGCACCUCCCAUAUUUAAAUUCAUAACAAUCACUUCACGUUCCUACCCCUAAAUCCAUCCUUAAAUGCAAUAACAAUGUAAACAAAAUUUUACGACUGUUGCUCCACCCGCCGCCACCCAAAUAUAAAGUUGGCUCCCUUCCCCCUAAAUUCUAAAGCGCGAACAUCAAAGGGUUUUUUUUAUUAAUUUUUCUCUUCUUCUUCCUCUAUCAUCUUCAACCGACCAUCAAACAUGAAUAUAUCCUAUCAAUGAGUUUACUCAUUCUGCUACCUUAAACGACUAACUUUUUUAUUAAGAAACUUCUCAAGUGCGACGAGUAUUUGAUUCUCCGGUUUUCUACAUUAAGAUUACGCAAAGGCAAAAGCCCGGUUUUGGAUUCCACCACCAUCCUUGCAAACGCUCCUGAGGUAA
This is a long non-coding RNA of Vicia villosa (hairy vetch), 510 nucleotides long. RefSeq lists it as uncharacterized. The transcript has 3 exons. The record is from RefSeq and is a predicted model, not a curated record. Lineage: Eukaryota; Viridiplantae; Streptophyta; Magnoliopsida; Fabales; Fabaceae.